RNAcentral lists this ribosomal RNA (301 nucleotides) under uncultured bacterium. Its description in RNAcentral is "partial 16S ribosomal RNA". It matches the Rfam family "Bacterial small subunit ribosomal RNA", at positions 509 to 807 of the family's 1533-position model. The record is from RNAcentral.
CAGUAGCCACGGUAAUACGAAGGGGGCUAGCGUUGUUCGGAUUUACUGGGCGUAAAGCGCACGUAGGCGGAUCGAUCAGUCAGGGGUGAAAUCCCAGAGCUCAACUCUGGAACUGCCUUUGAUACUGUCGAUCUGGAGUAUGGAAGAGGUAAGUGGAAUUCCGAGUGUAGAGGUGAAAUUCGUAGAUAUUCGGAGGAACACCAGUGGCGAAGGCGGCUUACUGGUCCAUUACUGACGCUGAGGUGCGAAAGCGUGGGGAGCAAACAGGAUUAGAUACCCGCGUAGUCCCUGUCUCUUAUAC